This 450-nucleotide ribosomal RNA is filed under the name uncultured bacterium. Its description in RNAcentral is "partial 16S ribosomal RNA". It matches the Rfam family "Bacterial small subunit ribosomal RNA", at positions 354 to 796 of the family's 1533-position model. The record is from RNAcentral.
GUGGGGAAUAUUGGACAAUGGGGGGAACCCUGAUCCAGCCAUGCCGCGUGUGUGAAGAAGGUCUUCGGAUUGUAAAGCACUUUAAGUUGGGAGGAAGGGCAGUAAGUUAAUACCUUGCUGUUUUGACGUUACCGACAGAAUAAGCACCGGCUAACUUCGUGCCAGCAGCCGCGGUAAUACGAAGGGUGCAAGCGUUAAUCGGAAUUACUGGGCGUAAAGCGCGCGUAGGUGGUUUUGUAAGUUGGAGGUGAAAUCCCCGGGCUCUACCUCGGAACUGCCUCCAAAACUGCAUGACUAGAGUACGGUAGAGGGUAGUGGAAUUUCCUGUGUAGCGGUGAAAUGCGUAGAUAUAGGAAGGAACACCAGUGGCGAAGGCGACUACCUGGACUGAUACUGACACUGAGGUGCGAAAGCGUGGGGAGCAAACAGGAUUAGAAACCCGGGUAGUCC